This 5484-nucleotide long non-coding RNA is filed under the name Homo sapiens (human). Its description in RNAcentral is "long non-coding RNA NONHSAT159352.1". The record is from RNAcentral. Lineage: Eukaryota; Metazoa; Chordata; Mammalia; Primates; Hominidae.
UGGCAACCUCGCCCCUCUCCCUCCCAUUCGGAGCCAGGCGGGGGGUGCACCAUGCGCUAAUAGCGACCCUGUUAAUUGCUUCCAAAUGGUCAACUGUAGUCAUUUGACUAAUUGGUCUCUUCCAGAGCCCAGGCUGGACACCCCAGGCCCAGCAGAAGUGCUCCUACCAGCAUCCCCCGAACCUCUGCACUGGGACCCUGUCCCCCAGAGCACCCCCAGCCCUAUCUGGUACCUGAGUCUGCCCCUAGCCUCUUCCCCUGGAGAGAGAGCUGGGGUGGAGAGAGGGCAGAGAACAGGGUCCUAUGGUGUGGCCGCAGGUGGCUGGCCAGGGACUGUCAGAUGUGAUGCUGACUCCCAGCCCCAAACUCACUCUAAUUAUGUUGCCUGCCCCCCCAUCCUCUUACCCCAUCCUUGUCCCCAAGAGCAGUGGGAGAGAGACCCAGCCUGCCUGUGUCACUGGGAGACCAUGGGUCCCUGAAAUUCUGGGAGCAGCCCUGAUCAGCCCCACAUUACAGAUGAGAAAGGGAGGCUCAGAGAGGUGAAGUGACUUGCCCGGGGUCACACAGCCAGGAGAUGAGGCGAGAAGACUGGAAUGCCCCUUCUGGCUACGGGACCCAGGACCCGAGCAGUGGGGAGAGGGAAACCAUUGCCCCUCUAAGUCCCUCUGGGGCAAAGCUGGCACUUUGCUUCUGGCAAAGUUAGGAGCCCCCGCAGGCAGGGGUGGGAUGGAAGGCACAUCUCCCCGCAGUGGGGCCUGCGCAGCACUUUGAGGCUCAUCCACGGUGUGGCGUGUGCCAGUGUGUCCUCCCCUUUUCUGCCCUAGUGGCAUUCCGUCGUGUGCACAGACCACAUGCUGUUUAUUUUUCAUCCAUGGAUGGAUGUUCGCCUUAUUUCCUGGCUACUUGGCUAUUUUGGAGCCCCAAGCUGAGACAUAAAGGAGGAUUCUCUCUGGGUAGAGGAGAGGAGGGAGCAGAGGGCCCCCUGGCCCAGGGACAGACACCUCCAGCUGCUCUUUUUCUUCCCCACAACACCGAGGGCAGCCUGUGCCUGUCAGUGCCUGGCAUCGGGCUCCAGGCAGAGCAGCCAACAGGGCUUGUAGAUGCCAUCUUCUCCCUGUGUCCUCACAGGUUCGUCCCUCUGUGUGUGCCUGUGUCCUCAUUACCUCUUCUUAUAAGGACCCCAGUCAGAUUGGACUGGGGCCAUUCCACAGACCUCGCUUUACUUUAAUCGCCUUUGAAAGACCCUAGCUCCAAUUGCAGCCACAUUCUGAGGUCCUAGUGAGUAGGGUUCCAACAUACAAAUCUUGGGGGACACAGUUCCGCCCAAAACAAGUGCAAAUGAUGAGGUACACCCCCAGUCCUGUGGAUGAGGUGGGGUGGAGGGAAGGGAAGAAAUUCACAUCCCCACCUCCUCCCACCAUGAAGUCAACUGCAGCUGGGCGAGGCCAGGCUUGAUGGGGAGCUGUGGCAGCUUUGAUGGGGAGCUGUGGUGGCAAACCCACACUCAAGCAAUCACCCUGUGUCCCUGCCUUGCACCCCCCUACCCCUCUCCACCCUUUGCCCAGGCCAGUCCCUCCACCUGGGGGCCCUUUCACCCUUUCCAUCUAGAAGCUCCUGCCAUUCCUGCAGACCUGGCCCCGGCCCCUGGAGGGGCCCACACCCCAGGCAGAGCGAGUCUCUUCCUCUGGCCUCCCUGGCCUUUGCUCCUUCCAUGCUGCCCUGAUACCUAGGCCUGUUUCUCGUCAGCAGCAGCUCAGGCAGGGCAGCUUGCUCUAGAGGGCAGGCAGGCUUUGUUUACCUCUCCCCUGUGCUGACCUGUGCGAGAUGUGGCCAGGACACUUGGACAGUGGGCAGGAGGCAGGGAUGGUGAGGUGGGGAUAGAGGGAGGAGUGCCGGGCUACCCACUCCCAGUCUAGGAUGUUCCUCCUCCACACCUGCAUGUUCUGUGUUCUCCUUAAACCAUCACGGUGCUGCUUUGAGGCUCCUGUGUCUGCUAGGAAAAAGGGGCUGCGCUGCUGGGGCCUUCAUUCAGCCGCCUACAACUGGGGGAGGCUGAGGAGUGCUACAAAUACAAUCACAGGAGCCAGCAUCGAUGGACUGAUGGGCCCUGGUAUGCAUGGUCUAUCUUGGGGGUGGUGGCACAUGGGUCCAGGACCACCCAGAUUCCAUUUUCUGCUCUAUUCCUUACCCUGCAUAAGCGCUCCUACAGCUGUCAGCCUCUGAUAUCAAUUCCAAGUUACUGGAUUUUUUUUGAGGCCGGGUCUCACUCUGUCAUCCAGGGUGGAGUGCAGUGGCUAGAGUUUGGCUCACUACAACCUCCACCUCCCAGGCUCAAGUGAUCCUCCUGCCUCAGCCUCCCAAGUAGCUGAGACUACAGGCAUGUGCCACCAUAUCCAGCUGAUUUUUGUAUUUUUUGUAGAGAUGGGGUCUCACUAUGUUUCCCAGACUGGUCUCAAACUCCUGAGCUCAAGCGAUCCUCCCAUCUCAGCCUCCCAAAGCACUAGGACAACCAGCAUGAGCCACUGUGCCCAACCCCUAUUCUAAGUUUAAAGGACAAGCAGGACUUUUUCUCAAGUCCCAGAGUAGCGCACCCCAGUCCCAACACCAGGACUGAGCGUGCACCCCACUUCUAGCAUCAGGACUGAGCGUGCUCUGACCUGUUUCCCUGAGCUGAGGAAGGGGCCGAAGAGCUGAGAUAACUCCCAAGAAAUUUCCAGGGAGGGAUUUUCUGGGGCCAAGUCCUGGCCUGGCCCGGCCGGGCCUGUGUGAGCUCAGGGUCCUGCAGCCCCGGUGACUGGCCAUCAAUGCCCAAGCUGCAGGGACUCUCGAGGAAGUCCGAAAGACGCCACUGCCUCUCUACAGGCUGUUCUCAGGUGGCCAGGAGGACUGCAUCGCAGAGGCGGCGGGCAGUGCCUGGGGACCAGCUUCCUGCCUCUGGCUCUGACUCAGACCUGGUGGCCUUGCCCAGCCCAGCCCCACCCUCUCACUAAAUCAAAGCCAUGCCCUUCAGAUGUGGUUUCCCAAGCCUCCCUUGGUUUCAUGACUGCGAGGGACCUUCUGCAGCCACCUGGGCUGAGUCUAUAAAGAAAUAUGCACAAGCAGCAUCAUUCAGCAGGAUUUCAGACCAGAAAGAACCCUCCCGUCAGAGACUGGUGGCCAUACAAGGGUGCGCUGUGAAGCUUUCGAGACAGCAGACAGCCGGAGUCGUGAUCAGGGUGGCCAGGAAGGGAAACAACACGGUAGCAACCAGAGUGCCCUCCCAUGUGGAUUCCUUUGGUGACGAAUAAGCCAGUUGGUGUGCAGGGUGUUCACUGCAAGGCCCAGACAGGACUACAAGAGACCAGGACUGUCCUCAGUAUGUGAUCUCUCUCUCCUCUGGCGUCAGCUCUACCCAGGAACGGAUGUGAAGGCUGAAGCCCAGGCAAGGGCUCAUAGUGUGGGGACCGUGCAGCUGGAUUCAUGUCCAGUGGAAUUUGACACCAUGGCCGUCAUCAUCAUGUUUUGCCGUCAUCAGCACAGACCUCUGAGCAGAAAUGCCAGAACAAUGUGGGGCCACCCUGGAGAUUUAUUUUAUUUAUUUUUUAAAUUAAAUUAAAAUUGUUUUUAAGAGACGGGGUCUUGCUAUGUUGCACAGGUUGAUCUUGAACUUCUGGGCUCAAGCAAUCCUCCUGUCUUGGCCUCAGAGUGUUGGGAUUACAGACCUAAGCCACCGCGCCCGGCCUGGAGAUGUAUUUUAAACUGACAUCUUGGGAGAAAUAAAAGCCUUCCUUUUCCCUGUGUGUCGGUAGCGUAAGUAGUGAACUGGGAAGGAUUUCUCGGGGCCCCUGCCCUGAGCUCCUAGACCUUCUCUCCCACGCCAUGUUACACAACAAAAUCUGACUCUGAAAGAUCAAUUGGGUCCAGCUUGGGGUCUGAUGGGCAGACGGGCUUAAGCAAAGCCCCCACUUGACUUCAAGAGAGGAGCUUGGGGCCCACAUAGACAUCGAGGCCUGCACAACGUAGCUAAUUGGCCCUAACAUUUUUCUUUCUUGAAUUUUAAAUCCUUUUAGCAACAGAUUAUACAACAAAGGCUGAACUCAUUGGGGCCGUCAUUAGGCUGGCGGAAAACGCUGGCUUGGCUGUUCCUUGGCGAAUCUCCUUACCGGGUUAUUUAGAGGUGCCGUGUGUCUCUCUUGGGGACAUGCACACAAAUGUAAAGAAUGUCUCUGAGCCACAAUGACAUUUUCAUUAGCCGUGGCUCACAGAGGAGCCUUUCCUGGCAGUUCCAAUCCGGAAGGUUCUUAUCCUGCUCUCUGGCUUUCUUGCUCUGGGUGAAAGGCAGGCACCGUAAUCCAAGCCAAACACCCCGACCUUUGACCCCCACAUGGUGCUUGCUGUCAGGGUGGGGGUUCUUCUGGGGUGCAUGUCUGAGGCCUGACUGGGCUGCACACUGUCCCAGAGUGCCCUGCCUUUGGCCAGGACAAUUCACCUCAGCCCCUUUUGUCCCAACAGCUUUUGAUCUUGCCUGCCUGUCACCCAGGGAAAGAGCCUGCCUAGGCCCUGUCCCACACCUGCCUGCAAACUGACAGCCAUGGCUCCCCCAGCCCCACUGCAGCAGCCUUAACCCUUUCUCUGCCUGACCUGCAGGGCCUGCACCUACCUGUCUCCAGGGUGCUGGGGCCUCAGGCUUUGGCCAAACCAGAACAGGACUAGAAAAGAAUUCUUCUGAGGGUCCAAGGCCUCGUCCUACCGCCCCUACUGUGAGUGUGGGACUGACAAAGGAGUUUGGAGAGCAUGAGUCCCCUAGAAUGGAGCUCCCAGGAAAAGCCAAAGAGAAAGCCCCAGGCCACUGGGCCUGGACUUCGCCCCACGGCAAGGUCCCCGCCCACUGGCUAGGCAGGUGCUUUUGUGAAACUGACAUUUUCUCAGCUGCACCUCUACCGCUGCUGAUGAGCUUUUCAAUACACUCUUUCUUGUAUUGAGACAGAGCCAUGUUUUCAUAACUUGGCACUACAGCAAAGAAAGACAUGGGGUCCUUGCUGCUCAGUCCUGGUGCCCGGCCCAGUGUCUGGGGUGCCCACCUUGCCCAGCGUGUGCUGGGCAUGCAGGGGCACUUCCCUAGGGCCAAAACCUGGGAGCUUUCCUCCAGGCCAAGACGCAAGUCUCUUUGUUUUUACGGUAGCUUUGUUGAAAUGUAAUUUACAUACCAUGAAAUUCACCCGUUGAAGGCAUGCAAUUUAGAAGGUUUUAUUCAUAGAGUUGUAUGAAUUCUCUAUUUCCCAAGGCCAUUUUUUUAAAUAUAAGGGUAAUCUAUGUUCACUGUGGAAAAUACAAACAAUUCAGAAAAUAUACCAUGAAAAGUGCACAUCCUGUUAAUCCAUUUAUUCAGAAACUGUUUCUUUUUUUCUUCUUUCUUUCUUUUUUUUUUUUUUUUUUGAGACAGAGUCUCAAUCUUGUCGCCCAGGCUAAAGUGCAAUGGUGUGAUCUCACUGCAGCCUCCACCUCC